RNAcentral lists this ribosomal RNA (244 nucleotides) under uncultured bacterium. RNAcentral describes it as "partial 16S ribosomal RNA". It matches the Rfam family "Bacterial small subunit ribosomal RNA", at positions 15 to 248 of the family's 1533-position model. The record is from RNAcentral.
GAUCCUGGCUCAGGAUGAACGCUAGCUACAGGCUUAACACAUGCAAGUCGAGGGGAAACGACAUCGAAAGCUUGCUUUUGAUGGGCGUCGACCGGCGCACGGGUGAGUAACGCGUAUCCAACCUGCCCACCACUUGGGGAUAACCUUGCGAAGGUAAGACUAAUACCCAAUGACAUCCCACGAAGACAUCUGAACGGGAUUAAAGAUUUAUCGGUGAUGGAUGGGGAUGCGUCUGAUUAGCUUG